AAGCAACGCGCAGAACCUUACCAGCCCUUGACAUCCCGAUCGCGGAAGGUGGAGACACCCUCCUUCAGUUAGGCUGGAUCGGAGACAGGUGCUGCAUGGCUGUCGUCAGCUCGUGUCGUGAGAUGUUGGGUUAAGUCCCGCAACGAGCGCAACCCUCGCCCUUAGUUGCCAGCAUUCAGUUGGGCACUCUAGGGGGACUGCCGGUGAUAAGCCGAGAGGAAGGUGGGGAUGACGUCAAGUCCUCAUGGCCCUUACGGGCUGGGCUACACACGUGCUACAAUGGUGGUGACAGUGGGCAGCGAGACCGCGAGGUCGAGCUAAUCUCCAAAAGCCAUCUCAGUUCGGAUUGCACUCUGCAACUCGAGUGCAUGAAGUUGGAAUCGCUAGUAAUCGUGGAUCAGCAUGCCACGGUGAAUACGUUCCCGGGCCUUGUACACACCGCCCGUCACACCAUGGGAGUUGGUUUUACCCGAAGGUGCUGUGCU
RNAcentral lists this ribosomal RNA (485 nucleotides) under Bartonella sp. 1157/3. RNAcentral's name for it is "bacterial SSU rRNA". It matches the Rfam family "Bacterial small subunit ribosomal RNA", at positions 954 to 1436 of the family's 1533-position model. The record is from RNAcentral. Lineage: Bacteria; Pseudomonadati; Pseudomonadota; Alphaproteobacteria; Hyphomicrobiales; Bartonellaceae.